RNAcentral lists this ribosomal RNA (503 nucleotides) under uncultured bacterium. RNAcentral's name for it is "bacterial SSU rRNA". It matches the Rfam family "Bacterial small subunit ribosomal RNA", at positions 28 to 523 of the family's 1533-position model. The record is from RNAcentral.
GACGAACGCUGGCGGCGUGGAUUAGGCAUGCAAGUCGAACGGUAUCAUCCUUUCGGGGGUGAGAGAGUGGCGAACUGGUGAGUAACACGUAGGUUAUCUACCCUCAAGACGGGGACAACCCAGGGAAACUUGGGCUAAUACCGGAUGUGAGCAACUUUUAGUUGUUUGAAAGGUGGCGUAAGCUGUCGCUUGGGGAUGAGCCUGCGUCCUAUUAGUUAGUUGGUGAGGUAACGGCUCACCUAGGCAAUGAUAGGUAGGCGGCCUUAACGGGGUGGUCGCCCACACUGGGAUUGAGAUACGGCCCAGACUCCUACGGGAGGCAGCAGUCGAGAAUAGUCUACAAUGGUCGGAAGACUGAUAGUGCGACGCCGCGUGAACGAUGAAUCCCUUCGGGGUGUAAAGUUCUUUUAUAUGUGAGCAGUGCUUCUUAUAUUAACAGUAUGGGGAAGAGAUAUUAGCAUAUGAAUAAGCAACGGCUAACUCCGUGCCAGCAGCCGCGGUAA